RNAcentral lists this ribosomal RNA (398 nucleotides) under uncultured bacterium. RNAcentral's name for it is "partial 16S ribosomal RNA". It matches the Rfam family "Bacterial small subunit ribosomal RNA", at positions 523 to 918 of the family's 1533-position model. The record is from RNAcentral.
AUACGUAGGGUGCGAGCGUUGUCCGGAAUUGCUGGGCGUAAAGAGCUCGUAGGUGGUUUGUCGCGUCGUUUGUGAAAUUCCGGGGCUUAACUCCGGGCGUGCAGGCGAUACGGGCAUAACUUGAGUACUGUAGGGGAGACUGGAAUUCCUGGUGUAGCGGUGAAAUGCGCAGAUAUCAGGAGGAACACCGGUGGCGAAGGCGGGUCUCUGGGCAGUAACUGACGCUGAGGAGCGAAAGCAUGGGUAGCGAACAGGAUUAGAUACCCUGGUAGUCCAUGCCGUAAACGGUGGGCGCUAGGUGUAGGGGUCUUCCACGACUUCUGUGCCGUAGCUAACGCAUUAAGCGCCCCGCCUGGGGAGUACGGCCGCAAGGCUAAAACUCAAAUGAAUUGACGGGG